UGGGGAAUAUUGCACAAUGGACGGAAGUCUGAUGCAGCAACGCCGCGUGCGGGAUGACGGCCUUCGGGUUGUAAACCGCUUUUUCUCAUGACGAAGUUUUUUGACGGUAGUGGGGGAAGAAGCACCGGCUAACUACGUGCCAGCAGCCGCGGUGAUACGUAGGGUGCGAGCGUUGUCCGGAAUUAUUGGGCGUAAAGAGCUUGUAGGCGGUUUGUCGCGUCGAUAGUGCAAACUCAGUGCUUAACGCUGAGCCUGCUGUUGAUACGGGCAGACUAGAGGAAGGUAGGGGAGAAUGGAAUUCCCGGUGGAGCGGUGGAAUGCGCAGAUAUCGGGAGGAACACCGGUGGCGAAGGCGGUUCUCUGGGCCUAUCCUGACGCUGAGAAGCGAAAGCGUGGGGAGCGAACAGG
RNAcentral lists this ribosomal RNA (408 nucleotides) under Fusobacteriota bacterium. RNAcentral describes it as "Fusobacteria bacterium partial 16S ribosomal RNA". It matches the Rfam family "Bacterial small subunit ribosomal RNA", at positions 355 to 776 of the family's 1533-position model. Lineage: Bacteria; Fusobacteriati; Fusobacteriota. The record is from RNAcentral.